This 837-nucleotide ribosomal RNA is filed under the name Simplicillium humicola. RNAcentral describes it as "partial large subunit ribosomal RNA". It matches the Rfam family "Eukaryotic large subunit ribosomal RNA", at positions 71 to 938 of the family's 3401-position model. Lineage: Eukaryota; Fungi; Ascomycota; Sordariomycetes; Hypocreales; Cordycipitaceae. The record is from RNAcentral.
GGGAUUGCCCCAGUAACGGCGAGUGAAGCGGCAACAGCUCAAAUUUGAAAUCUGGCUCCUGGAGCCCGAGUUGUAAUUUGUAGAGGAUGCUUUUGAUGCGGUGCCUUCCGAGUUCCCUGGAACGGGACGCCAUAGAGGGUGAGAGCCCCGUCUGGUCGGAUGCCAAAUCUCUGUAAAGCUCCUUCGACGAGUCGAGUAGUUUGGGAAUGCUGCUCAAAAUGGGAGGUAUAUGUCUUCUAAAGCUAAAUACCGGCCAGAGACCGAUAGCGCACAAGUAGAGUGAUCGAAAGAUGAAAAGCACUUUGAAAAGAGGGUUAAAUAGUACGUGAAAUUGUUGAAAGGGAAGCGCCUAUGACCAGACUUGGGCCCGGUGAAUCAUCCAGCGUUCUCGCUGGUGCACUUUGCCGGGCACAGGCCAGCAUCAGUUUGUCUUGGGGGAAAAAGGCUUUGGGAACGUGGCUCCCUCGGGAGUGUUAUAGACCAUUGCAUAAUACCCUGGGACGGACUGAGGUUCGCGCAUCUGCAAGGAUGCUGGCGUAAUGGUCAUCAGCGACCCGUCUUGAAACACGGACCAAGGAGUCGUCUUCGUAUGCGAGUGUUCGGGUGUAAAACCCCUACGCGUAAUGAAAGUGAACGCAGGUGAGAGCUUCGGCGCAUCAUCGACCGAUCCUGAUGUUCUCGGAUGGAUUUGAGUAAGAGCAUACGGGGCCGGACCCGAAAGAAGGUGAACUAUUCCUGUAUAGGGUGAAGCCAGAGGAAACUCUGGUGGAGGCUCGCAGCGGUUCUGACGUGCGAAUCGAUCGUCAAAUAUGGGAAUGGGGGCGAAAGACUAAUCGA